GACGAACGCUGGCGGCGUGCCUAACACAUGCAAGUCGAACGGUAAGGCCCUUCGGGGUACACGAGUGGCUAACGGGUGAGGAACACGUGGGUGAUCUGACCUGCACUUCGCGAUAAGCCCGGGAAAAUGGGUCUAAGAGCGGAUAGGACGCUGGGAUGCAUGUACUGGGGGGGAAAGCUGUUGUGGUGUGGGAUGGGCCCGGGGCCUAUCAGCUUGUUGGUGGGGUGAGUGCCUACCAAGGCGACGACGGGUAGCCGGCCUGAGAGGGUGACCGGCCACACUGGGACUGAGAUACGGCCCAGACUCCUACGGGAGACAGCAGUGGGGAAUAUUGCACAAUGGGCGCAAGCCUGAUGCAGCGACGCCGCGUGAGGGAUGACGGCCUUCGGGUUGUAAACCUCUUUCAGCACCGACGAAGCGCAAGUGACGGUAGGUGCAGAAGAAGGACCGGCCAACUACGUGCCAGCCGCCGCCGUAA
This 478-nucleotide ribosomal RNA is filed under the name uncultured bacterium. RNAcentral describes it as "partial 16S ribosomal RNA". It matches the Rfam family "Bacterial small subunit ribosomal RNA", at positions 28 to 523 of the family's 1533-position model. The record is from RNAcentral.